CCACAAUCUUAACCUCACCACAGAACAAAUCAAGCGGCAGGCGGAUCGUAAGAGGCGUCCUGCCCCUGUUUACUCACCCGGUCAACAAGUCUGGUUGUCGUCCCAGGACAUCCCGCUCAAAUCUGUGUCUAAGAAGCUCUCUCCCCGUUACAUUGGCCCUUUUGAAAUUGAAACUAUAAUCAACCCAUCCGCUGUUCGCCUCUGUCUACCCACUUCCCUCCGCGUCCAUCCCACCUUCCACAUCUCUCGGAUAAAGCCCGUCCGGACCAGCCCGCUCUGCCCUCCAGCCGAACCCUCUCCGCCUCCCCGUGACAUUGCUGGUCAUCCCGCCUAUUCCGUCCGCCGGAUCGUGGACUCCCGUCGACGAGGUCGGGGUUGGCAAUAUCUUGUUGACUGGGAGGGCUACGGUCCUGAGGACCGUUCUUGGGUUCCGGGUUCAUUUAUAUUGGACCCGUCACUUGUCUCGGAUUAUCGUGCGUCGCUUCCCUCCAGCUCAUCUAGGCCGCCAGGUGGCGGCCAUUGGGGGGGGGGGUACUGUCAGGAUCCAGGGUUGUUAGGUUCUCGCUGUAGGGGUUUUGGGUGCAUGCACCACCUUUGUUUCCUCACCAGAUGGCACCAUCAGUUUGACGGAGGGCAUGGAUGACGUCAUCUCCCACACCGGCCUCGGAUUAGCUCAUCAGCGACAGGUUUUGAGGAGCGGUCUACCAGUCCUUCGGCGCCUGAGUGUUGCCCAGUUUUGUCUCCCCUUGGAUUUCCUCGACUGGAAGACGCGCCGUUUCUCGCUCCUCGCGGAUCCCAAGCCUACCUGUCUGCCCUCCAGCGCGCACACGCCCCACCCAAACCCCCAGAGAGACCGGACCCUGGACCCAGCAGCCACCCGCCGCUAGCUUUUCCCGGCUCUACUCAAUGAGCCGAUCGCUUCCUGAUCCUUCCCUUCCCGUGGACCAGACCAGAGUUUUCAUUCCCUGCCACUGUGUUCCGUUUCCUUCUCAAAUAAAUUCACUAUAUUUUCACCCACCGUAUCCUAGUGUUGUGUUCUGCAUAUGGGCUAGAAUCAAAUCCUCCCAAUA
Molecule: long non-coding RNA, 1070 nt
Organism: Poeciliopsis prolifica (blackstripe livebearer)
Lineage: Eukaryota; Metazoa; Chordata; Actinopteri; Cyprinodontiformes; Poeciliidae
Exons: 3
Source: RefSeq, a predicted model, not a curated record